This 2912-nucleotide long non-coding RNA is filed under the name Fukomys damarensis (Damara mole-rat). Its description in RNAcentral is "lncRNA (ENSFDAG00000032470.1)". Lineage: Eukaryota; Metazoa; Chordata; Mammalia; Rodentia; Bathyergidae. The record is from RNAcentral.
AAAUAACAGCAAAAGGAAGCUGGGAACCUAGUAGAAUGGAACCGAAGUUCGCAGGUGUCGACCGGCUAUCUUGGACUAGACAUGGAUUUUGUGGCUGGCGUUGGCUGCUGGGAAUGGUGUGGCGUCGGAGAGACUACAACUGGUGGAGAGAGGGUGACACGAGACGGAAAGCUUCUUUCAUCAUGUAGCUCCAUGCCCAACGAAAGCAGCAUGAUCACACACAGAGCAACUCAGACCAGGAGUGAGUACAAGAAACAAAAACUCGACGGCAAAGAUUAUGUGGGACUAAGGAGGCGGUGGGUCCUCAGAACGGCAGGGAUCUUGGCUGGACUGGGUUAUGAGGGAUUUAACCCUGAGAAUGUCUUAAUUAAAGCAGAACUUUGGAGAGAAGAGGGCAGUUAUUGUUGGGUUUUGUUUGUUUGAUUUGUAGUCGCUGGAGAUGGAACCCAGGUCCUUGCGUGCCUUGGGCCACGCCCGAACAGGGCUCUUCACCUCUACCCUACUCCCUUUCUCCUCCAUAACCUGGUGUGGAUUACAGCCCCUGGAUACAGCCCCAGGAGACAGCGACAUUCUGUGUCCUCCUUCCUUGUUCCCUUUCUGCUCCUGCCCUGAUCACGAGACAAUCACACUACAUUCAGCACACUGCGUUCAGCCCUGGUCCAGCAGCGUUAGUUACUCUGCCUUCUCUUCCUGUUUGUCUCACACUAUAAAUCAAGUGUGCCCAGGCUGCCCUUAGCUCCUGACAGGCUAUGGCUCCACACGGUCCCAGCUUUCAAGCAUAAUCUCGGUGUUCUUCAUUUUUCAUUUUUCUUCAUCUCCCACUGCUCUCCCUGGCUUUGGGCCCUACACCGUGUGGGUUGUAGCACUUGUGCGUGCUAGGAAAGCCCUUUGCCAUGGAGGUACACUCUCAGCCUAAGGACAAUUUUGUUGUUUGUUUUGUUUUUGAGGCAGGGUGUCACUAUGUAGUUGUUCAGCCUGGCCUCGAACUCACAGCGAUUCUCCUGCCUCAGCCUCCCAAGUGCUGAGAUUUACAGGCACGUGCCACCAUGCCUGGCCCAAGAACAAUUUUGACUCUGAAUUUAAAACUUCUCACCCAGGGUGGGGGAUUUAGCUCAGUGGUUCCGCUGCCUGCCUUGCAAGCACAAGGUCCCGAGUUCAAUCCCCGCCCGGUACCAAAAAUAAAUAAAUAAAAUAAGACUUCUUACCCAGAAAGAGACUGGCCACUAACACAGCUUGAAUGAACAUCAGUGGAAGAGUAGUGUGGCUGAGAGGACAUUCCCCAGGCAGACUGACCGCACGGGUGAUGAACCACUCGGGCAGUGCAAAGAGACAGGGGUGACUUCGCCCUUCACAGACAGGCCUCAGCGAGAAGCAAAAACUUGCUGGGCCCCAUCCCGGCUCGUUCCGAUGGUGAGCCCCUCCACACGGGCUGGAACGGGGCCCUCAAAGGAGCGACUGACAAUUCCUACUCCCAGGUGUGUGGGGAGCACACCGCCAAGUGCCACGGAGAACUCCCCUUAGAGGCCGGAUGAGGGUCUCCGCAGGAGCAGCUGAGCGGACGGUGAAAGCCUCCAUGUCUAAAAGAGUAUUAUGGUGAGAGACACAUUAACCCCUUCAAAGCACUCCCUGUGCUUCUGACACUUAAUCCCGCUGCAGCAGUUCCGGAAGUCCUCUCUUGUGUCUUUGUGAGGCAUGAUCAGAAAUCAGUGAAUGCAGCUGCCAAGUGCUCUCUGACAGAAAGGUAGCCUCAUAAAAACAUUCUGCUGUGGGGCCAGGGAUUUAGCUCAUGGUGCCAUGUCUGCCUGGUAAGCUCAAGGUCCUGAGUUCAAUCCUGGGUACCGCAAAAACAAACAGACAAAAAUUAUGCUGUGUUGAGCGAGAUGUGGUGGUGCACACCUGUAAUCCCAGCACUAGGGAGGCUGAGGCAGGAAGAUUGCCGUGAGUUUGAGGCCAGCCUGAACUAUAUAGCAAGACCCUGUCGCAAAACAAGACCCCAAAAAUAUGACACUGUGCCCUGAUCCACCCAAGUCCACCUGAUUCACUGGAAUCUAGCACCGUGCAACUACUGCUGUUCCAUGAAGUCAAAAUGCCUGUGAAAGGUAAACAUUUUCAUUGAUUUGGGUCACGAAGGCAGCCAUGACAGCACCACGAAAGACACUCGUGAAAGAAGACUGCUAGAACUGCUUCAGAACAGGGAAAGAAGGAUGGGUUGUGUAUUCAAAGUGAAGGAGAGCUAUCUUGAGGGGGAUAGAAAUGGGAAUGUGUCUUACUGUAAGCAACUUUUCAAAUUUAAAUACUAUCUUUUUCCAUUACAUUUCAUAGUAAAACAACAGUUUUUUUGUUGUUUUUUGAGACAGUUUCAUGAUGUAGUUUAAGUUGGCUUUGAAUGCACUGUGUAGACCAGGUUGGCUUGGAUCCCUUGGCGAUCCUCCUACUUCAGCCUCCAGAGUGCUGAGAUUACAGGUGUGCGCCAUCAUGCUGGGUUCAACAUUUCUCUUUCCCACGGGGAAUUUAGCUUAGUGGUGCUGCCUCCUGCCUUGCGAGUGCAAGGUCCUGAGUCUGAUCCCGGUACUCCCCAAAAAAAUUUCUUUCUCUCCUUUUUUUGGGGGGUACCGGGGAUCAAACUCAGGAUCUUGCACUCGCGAGGCAGGCGCGGUGCCACUGAGCUGCGUCCCCAGCCCUACAAGUCACUUAACUGGAGUAGGAAAAAGCAUGGAAGCUGCUGGGGCAACUCUGCAAUAUGUGUGUGGCCCCGUGUCCAAUCCCCAAUACUGCAAAAUACAUUAAAGCCGGGGCAGUGGCCCAAGCCUACAGUCUCAGCUGUUCCAAGGAGGCUGAGGCAAGCGUAUCGCAAGUUAGAGGCUGACCGAGGUAGUACAGGGAGACUCUGUCUGCAGAAGGAAAUAAACAAG